CAACGCCGCGUGGAGGAUGAAGUCCCUUGGGACGUAAACUCCUUUCGAACGGGACGAUAAUGACGGUACCGUAAGAAGAAGCCCCGGCUAACUUCGUGC
Molecule: ribosomal RNA, 99 nt
Filed under: uncultured bacterium
Lineage: Bacteria
Description: partial 16S ribosomal RNA
Rfam family: Bacterial small subunit ribosomal RNA
Source: RNAcentral